Nothobranchius furzeri (turquoise killifish) is the source of this 729-nucleotide non-coding RNA. NCBI's taxonomy places the organism in Eukaryota, Metazoa, Chordata, Actinopteri, Cyprinodontiformes, Nothobranchiidae. The record is from RefSeq and is a predicted model, not a curated record.
GGGUGUCUCUGAUGGUGACUGGACCACCACUCUACAUUCUGAACAUGACCCAAGAACAGUGGACCUUAAAACAAAAUAACAGUAAAACCACUGGUACACUGCAGGAGAUGAGAUCAUUCAGCAGACCUAUCUGGAUGUUAGCAGGGCAGAAAUCAGCCUUUACAAGAACAACGUGUCAGUGUUCCCUCUGAGGAGCUGAAACACACUGACAUCUGGUUUUAGACUGACUCACCUGGUGGUAGCAGAUUAGCUGCAGAGCUGGUACUGACUUCUAGAUGCUUCAGUAACCAGAAACAUCAGAACGUGUUGCUUCCAAGUCUUUUAUUCAGAAGGUGUCAACAAACCCAAGAGGAGGCUCCUCCAGUGUUACACAAGACAAACACCAUGUUCACCACUAACCCUCUCUAAUCAUGCUAAAUGUGAAUGGCGUUGUUUUACCAGUCUGAAUGUUGUAAUGGCGAACACACCCAGUCUGCCCUAUAAGUUUCCUGAGUCUGGGUCCGCAGUCAAACCUGCUGCAAUUUGAUUGUGGGUGAAGCUCUAGUCAUCAUGAUGAAGACAGCUGUCCUCCUGUUCCUGGCUGUUGGAGCCAUAACAGUAGAAGGACAUUUUUGGGACAAAAUCCUUGGAAGAAGCGAGCCUACUGGUGGUCCUGGAGCUGGUCCUGGAUCCCGUCCAGGAGCUGGACCUGGAGCUGGUCCUGGGGUUGGUCCUGGAUCCCGUCCAGGA